Molecule: ribosomal RNA, 500 nt
Filed under: uncultured bacterium
Lineage: Bacteria
Description: partial 16S ribosomal RNA
Rfam family: Bacterial small subunit ribosomal RNA
Source: RNAcentral
AUUGAACGCUGGCGGCAUGCCUUACACAUGCAAGUCGAACGGCAGCACGGGAGCAAUCCUGGUGGCGAGUGGCGAACGGGUGAGUAAUAUAUCGGAACGUGCCCAGUAGUGGGGGAUACCUGCUCGAAAGAGCCGCUAAUACCGCGUACGACCUGAGGGUGAAAGCGGGGGAUCGCAAGACCUCGCGCUAUUGGAGCGGCCGAUAUCAGAUUAGCUAGUUGGUGGGGUAAAAGCUCACCAAGGCGACGAUCUGUAGCUGGUCUGAGAGGACGACCAGCCACACUGGGACUGAGACACGGCCCAGACUCCUACGGGAGGCAGCAGUGGGGAAUUUUGGACAAUGGGCGCAAGCCUGAUCCAGCCAUGCCGCGUGCGGGAAGAAGGCCUUCGGGUUGUAAACCGCUUUUGUCAGGGAAGAAACGGCUCCUACUAAUACUGGGGGCUAAUGACGGUACCUGAAGAAUAAGCACCGGCUAACUACGUGCCAGCAGCCGCGGUAA